This 656-nucleotide ribosomal RNA is filed under the name Pseudoalteromonas sp. WHD8. RNAcentral describes it as "bacterial SSU rRNA". It matches the Rfam family "Bacterial small subunit ribosomal RNA", at positions 69 to 723 of the family's 1533-position model. Lineage: Bacteria; Pseudomonadati; Pseudomonadota; Gammaproteobacteria; Alteromonadales; Pseudoalteromonadaceae. The record is from RNAcentral.
ACAGAGAGUAGCUUGCUACUUUGGUGACGAGCGGCGGACGGGUGAGUAAUGCUUGGGAACAUGCCUUGAGGUGGGGGACAACAGUUGGAAACGACUGCUAAUACCGCAUAAUGUCUACGGACCAAAGGGGGCUUCGGCUCUCGCCUUUAGAUUGGCCCAAGUGGGAUUAGCUAGUUGGUGAGGUAAUGGCUCACCAAGGCGACGAUCCCUAGCUGGUUUGAGAGGAUGAUCAGCCACACUGGGACUGAGACACGGCCCAGACUCCUACGGGAGGCAGCAGUGGGGAAUAUUGCACAAUGGGCGCAAGCCUGAUGCAGCCAUGCCGCGUGUGUGAAGAAGGCCUUCGGGUUGUAAAGCACUUUCAGUCAGGAGGAAAGGUUAGUAGUUAAUACCUGCUAGCUGUGACGUUACUGACAGAAGAAGCACCGGCUAACUCCGUGCCAGCAGCCGCGGUAAUACGGAGGGUGCGAGCGUUAAUCGGAAUUACUGGGCGUAAAGCGUACGCAGGCGGUUUGUUAAGCGAGAUGUGAAAGCCCCGGGCUCAACCUGGGAACUGCAUUUCGAACUGGCAAACUAGAGUGUGAUAGAGGGUGGUAGAAUUUCAGGUGUAGCGGUGAAAUGCGUAGAGAUCUGAAGGAAUACCGAUGGCGAAGGCA